This 72-nucleotide transfer RNA is filed under the name Caligus rogercresseyi. RNAcentral describes it as "tRNA-Lys". The record is from RNAcentral. Lineage: Eukaryota; Metazoa; Arthropoda; Copepoda; Siphonostomatoida; Caligidae.
CGGCCGAGCAGGGGCUCGAACCCUGGACGUCUGGUUAAAAGCCAAACGCUCUACCGACUGAGCUACCGGGCU